ACCUCUCUGGGAAAGUCUUUGCCUGUAGCCUCUCAUUACGGGGCCCUGGGCUUUGGACACAUCUCUCUGUGGCCUGGACUGCUUGGUUAACAUUUUCUGUGUCGCUGUCUCCCCCAUGUGACAGAGCUGGUGUUCUUUCUUCAGUUCAUUUUUCUGUCCUAAAGGGACCCUUUUGACUCCAGAAUUGGAGGUAUGCAAAGAAGCAAACUGUUGCUCAGUGUUACAGUCACAAGGCCAAGAGGUGUUUAGUUAACUUUUAUAAGUGGAUUUAGGUUUAUGCCAGAGUAAGAGGCAGAGUCGGGAACAGCUUUUCCUCAUAAAGAAGGAAAACAAAAAAAGAGGCAACAUUGAUUGGAGAAAGUCUCCUGGUAACAGAAAGAAUUUUGAUAUCUGAGCUGCUGGAUGCAUGCGCUUUCUUUCUCUCUCUGAUUCCCCCCCCCACCCACCUCACUGAAGUAGGAUAAGGGCAGAGAUAACUGAGAGGAGGUGGAAUUCACUGGGGAAAUUACCUCGGAAGCAGGCUAUGGAAGAGGGCACCACAGAAACAGGUCCCCCUGUAACCAUAGUGACGGCUGAAGAAGGAAGGGCACAGUG
This 594-nucleotide long non-coding RNA is filed under the name Homo sapiens (human). RNAcentral's name for it is "HSALNT0359345". The record is from RNAcentral. Lineage: Eukaryota; Metazoa; Chordata; Mammalia; Primates; Hominidae.